CCCUAUUCUUACAUGGGAAAAGACUCGGUGAAGGUGAAAUAUAUAGGGCGUUCCCAUCAGCAAUGCAGCCGGGUCCUAAACAACCGGUACCAGACGCCCUGCAUCAAUCUCCCAAAACCGACGGCCGCGAAAUGCCCUGUUGCAAGUAACUUGUCCGGUCUGUUGUUCAUCGAAUAUCUGUCUAUCUUAUCACUGUCCGUAUCAGCCAAUUUCACCAUGAAUUGAAAACUUCAAAAAGUUAUUGUUGGAAAAUAAAAAGCCCAUGAUGCUAUCAUGCGCCCCCUAGUUCCCUAGAGAUACGAACUCACGCCUCCCCAAACAAGCGCACGGUUGCUAUCCUGCGCUCUUCCCUGACUCCUGCUGCCCCUCUCUCACCGCGUCCUCGUAUCCUCGCCCCCUCUAAACUCUCCCACCCUCCCCUUCCCUUGCUCUCUGUUCUCCUGCUUGAAUGGUCGAUAAUUAGAACAAGACUAGAGAGACGGACAGGCGAGCCCACGCCAAGACAACAAUGAAGCAUACUUCGUCUGAGGCAGCUCCAUCUUUAUCUUCUGCACCCUCUUCAACAGACCAAUCACACGUUGCUACUUCAUCGCCGUCGCUGGCUUCGCCCGAAAAACCCGUUUUAGGUUCGUCCGCCGCUGCUCCGGAGGACUUGGCUAUAGGGUCAAGGGAUGGAGGCGGCGCCCAGGAGUCUGUGACCGUCGAACGCCGGGGCGACUACUCGGCCGUUUGCCGAUGGACGGUGCAUAAUUUUCCACGAAUAAAAGCUAGGGCACUAUGGAGCAAGUACUUCGAGGUCGGAGGUUAUGAUUGCCGUCUCUUGAUAUACCCCAAGGGUGACUCGCAAGCCUUGCCCGGCUAUGUCUCCAUCUACCUCCAAAUCAUGGACCCUCGGGGCACUUCCUCGUCCAAAUGGGACUGUUUUGCUAGCUACCGUUUGGCAAUCGUGAACCUCUCCGACGAUUCUAAGACCAUUCAUCGGGAUUCGUGGCAUCGGUUCUCAAGUAAGAAGAAAUCACACGGGUGGUGUGAUUUCACGCCUUCUACAACAGUAUUGGAUCCAAAACUGGGCUACUUGUUUAAUGGUGAUUCGGUAUUGAUAACUGCUGAUAUUCUUAUUCUUAAUGAGUCCAUUAAUUUUACUCGAGACAACAAUGAGCUGCAAUCAUCGGCAUCUUCUUCUUCAUCCAUGAUAUCUUCCUCUGUUGUUGCGGGCCCUGUGUCCGACGUGUUGAGUGGAAAAUUCACUUGGAAAGUGCAUAAUUUCAGUUUAUUCAAGGAGAUGAUAAAAACACAGAAGAUAAUGAGCCCCGUUUUUCCAGCUGGGGAGUGUAAUUUGAGGAUUAGUGUCUAUCAGAGCUCGGUAAAUGGGGUCGAAUAUCUGUCAAUGUGCUUGGAAAGUAAGGAUACGGACAAGACAGUGAUGUUGUCCGAUAAGAGUUGUUGGUGUUUAUUUCGAAUGUCAGUCUUGAACCAGAGGCCAGGUUCGAAUCACAUGCAUAGGGAUUCGUAUGGGCGGUUUGCUGCUGAUAAUAAAAGUGGUGAUAAUACGAGCUUGGGAUGGAAUGAUUAUAUGAAGAUGUCAGAUUUUAUUGGGCCUGAUUCAGGGUUUCUGGUGGAUGACACUGCAGUUUUUAGUACCUCAUUUCAUGUGAUUAAAGAGUUUAGUAGCUUCUCUAAGAAUGGGGCUUUAAUUGCAGGAAGAAGUGGGAGUGGCGCAAGGAAAUCAGAUGGUCAUAUGGGUAAGUUUACUUGGAGGAUUGAAAACUUCACAAGGUUAAAGGAUUUAUUGAAGAAGAGAAAAAUCACGGGUCUUUGCAUCAAGAGCCGGAGGUUUCAAAUUGGUAAUCGAGAUUGUCGUCUCAUUGUAUAUCCCCGAGGGCAGUCUCAGCCUCCUUGCCACCUUUCAGUGUUUCUUGAAGUUACAGAUUCAAGAAAUACUUCCAGCGAUUGGAGUUGUUUUGUUAGUCAUCGGUUGUCAGUUGUGAACCAGAAGAUGGAGGAAAAGUCUGUUAGUAAGGAAUCUCAGAACCGCUACUCCAAGGCUGCAAAAGAUUGGGGCUGGCGUGAAUUUGUGACCCUCACUAGCCUCUUUGAUCAAGAUUCGGGUUUUCUUGUCCAGGAUACUGUUGUAUUCUCAGCGGAAGUUCUUAUAUUGAAAGAGACAUCAAUGAUGCAGGAUUUGAUUGAUUACAAUUCUGAGCUGAGUUGUAGUGGUUCCCUUACCGAUAGCCAUGUGAAGAGAAGGACAUUUACAUGGAAAGUGGAGAAUUUCCUGUCAUUUAAGGAAAUAAUGGAGACUCGAAAGAUCUUUAGCAAAUUUUUUCAGGCUGGUGGAUGUGAACUUCGGAUUGGUAGGUGGUACUUUUUCUUGCCAAUACAAUUUUUGCAUUCUUGUUCUUAUACUCUGAGCUCAUGUUUCUGUGACACAGGUGUGUACGAGUCCUUUGACACCAUAUGCAUCUAUCUAGAGAGCGAUCAGGCUGUUGGUAGUGACCCAGAUAAAAACUUUUGGGUUAAAUACAGGAUGGCUGUUGUGAAUCAAAAGAAUCCAGCCAAGACAGUGUGGAAGGAAUCCUCUAUUUGUACGAAGACAUGGAAUAAUUCUGUUUUGCAAUUCAUGAAGGUGGCUGAUAUAUUGGAAGCAGAUGCAGGGUUUCUUGUUCGUGACACUGUUGUUUUUGUCUGUGAAAUAUUGGAUUGCUGCCCUUGGUUUGAUUUUUCAGACUUAGAGGUUUUAGCUUCUGAUGAUGACCAGGAUGCUUUGACAACUGAUCCUGAUGAACUCAUUGACUCUGAAGACAGUGAAGGAAUAAGUGGAGACGAAGAAGACAUUUUUAGAAAUCUUCUUUCUCGAGCUGGAUUUCACCUAACAUAUGGAGAUAAUCCUUCACAGCCACAAGUUACUUUAAGAGAAAAGCUUUUAAUGGAUGCUGGUGCAAUUGCUGGGUUUCUGACUGGACUGCGGGUUUAUCUUGAUGAUCCUGUGAAAGUAAAGCGUCUGCUUCUUCCAACCAAGCUCUCUGGUGGUUGUGAUGGGAAGAAGGUUGGUAAGGCCGAUGAAUCUUCCCCCAGUUUGAUGAAUUUGCUGAUGGGAGUUAAGGUCUUGCAACAGGCAAUCAUUGAUUUACUUUUGGAUAUAAUGGUGGAAUGCUGCCAACCUUCUGAAGGGUCCUGUGCUGCUGAUUCUCCUGAUGCAUGCUCGAAAACAUCUCCUGAUAGCAGUGGAGCUGCUAGUCCUCUUGAAUGUGAUAGAGAAAAUGGGGCAGCAGGAUCUGCUCAAUUUCCUGUUUAUGAGAGAUUGGAUUCUGCUGAGGAAGGAAGUGGUAGUACAUCUGCUGUACAAAGUGAUUCAAAUGGUAGUGUUAUUCAGGAGAAAGCUCUUCCUGGACAACCUAUUUUUCCACCUGAAACAUCUGCUGUUGUUUCAGAAAAUCCAUCCUUUCGAUCAAAGACCAAGUGGCCAGAACAGUCUGAGGAGCUCUUAGGUUUAAUUGUAAACUCACUGAGAACCCUUGAUGGGGCUGUUCCGCAAGGCUGCCCUGAGCCACGACGGCGUCCUCAGUCUGCACGCAAAAUUUCUGUUGUGUUGGACAAAGCUCCUAAGCAUUUGCAAUCUGACCUAGUAGCGCUUGUUCCCAAAUUGGUUGAGCCUUCAGAACAUCCACUAGCUGCCUGUGCACUUCUUGAGCGACUUCAAAAGCCAGAUGCAGAACCUGCCUUGCGAAUGCCUGUUUUUGAGGCUCUUAGUCAACUAGAGUGCGGUAGUGAAGUGUGGGAACGUGUUCUGUUGCAAUCAAUUGAGCUUUUGGCUGACUCAAAUGGCGAACCCCUUGCUGCAACUAUAGAUUUUAUAUUCAAAGCAGCAUCUCAAUGUCAACAUCUUCCUGAAGCAGUUAGAUCCGUUCGUGUUAGACUCAAAAAUCUAGGUUUUCAAGUUUCACCUUGUGUCCUUGACUUUCUGAGCAAGACUGUUAAUAGUUGGGGGGAUGUUGCUGAAACUAUACUGAGGGACAUUGAUUGUGAUGAUGACUUGGGUGACAGUUGCUCAGUGAUGUCAUGUGGACUUUUCUUAUUUGGUGAACACGGCACAGCUCCUUCUGGAUUGAAUGUGGUUGAUGAACAGGCUUUCCAAGCUAGUUGUUAUUUUUCUGAUAUUUACAUACUGAUUGAGAUGCUAUCAAUUCCUUGUCUUGCUGUUGAAGCUUCUCAAACCUUUGAGAGAGCUGUAGCUCGAGGUGCAGUUGGUGCUCAGUCUGUAGCCUUGGUUUUGGAGAAGCGUGCCUCCCAAAGACUGACUAAUCAUUCCAGAGAUGCAUCUGAAAGUUUUCCAUGUUCAGAUGUUGUUGCAGAGGGAAACGCCAAUGAACCCUUUGGAGUUCAAAGAGAUGAUUUUACUUCAGUUCUUGGUCUUGCUGAAAAAUUAGCAUUGUCCACAGAGCCAUGUGUGAAAGAAUUUGUAAAGUUACUCUAUUUGAUAUUGUUUAGAUGGUAUGCUGAUGAAUCUUAUCGAGGGACAAUGCUUAAGAGGCUUGUUGACCGUGCCACCAGCACUACAGAUAAUGGACAUGAAGUAGACUUAGAUUUGGAUAUUUUAGUUACUUUGGUCUGUGAGGAGCAGGAAAUUGCUAGAUCUGUUUUGAGUAUGAUACGGGAAGUUGCCGAACUUGCAAAUGUUGAUCGGUCUGCUCUAUGGCACCAGUUAUGUGCUAGUGAAGAUGAAAUCAUUCGCCUUCGUGAAGAAAAGAAAGCUGAGAUUUCCAAUAUGGCUAAGGAAAAAGCUAUUGUUACACAAAAACUGAGUGAAUCCGAGGCCACAAGUAUUCGUCUCAAGUCUGAAAUGAGGGCUGAGAUGGAUCGGUUUGCUCGGGAGAAGAAGGAGCUAGUUGAACAAAUACAAGAAGUUGAAAGUCAGCUUGAGUGGCUUCGUUCCGAGCGGGAUGAUGAAAUAGCAAAGCUCUCUGCAGAGAAGAAAGCUCUUCAGGACCGUGUGCAUGAUGCAGAGGCACAACUCUCACUAUUGAAGUCCCGGAAACGUGAUGAAUUGAAGAAAGUAGUCAAGGAAAAAAAUGCACUUGCUGAAAGAUUGAAGAGUGCUGAAGCUGCACGGAAGAGAUUUGAUGAAGAACUGAAAAGAUAUGCUACAGAAAAUAUCACUCGGGAAGAAAUACGAAAAUCACUUGAGGAUGAAGUUCGUAGGUUGACGCAAACGGUUGGGCAAACUGAGGAAGAAAAGAGAGAGAAGGAAGAGCAGGUUACUAGGUGUGAAGCAUAUAUUGAUGGCAUGGAAUCAAAAUUGCAGGCUUGCCAGCAAUAUAUUCACACACUGGAAGCUUCACUUCAAGAGGAAAUGUCACGUCAUGCUCCUCUAUAUGGCGCUGGUCUGGAGGCCCUGUCAAUGAAAGAGUUGGAAACACUAUCACGUAUCCACGAGGAAGGGCUAAGGCAGAUCCAUGCCCUUCAACAGCGUAAAGGGAGUCCAGCUGGUAGUCCUCUUGUGAGUCCACAUGCCCUUUCUCAUAAUCAUGGAUUAUAUCCCUCUGCCUCCCCUCCAUUGCCUGUGGGCCUCCCUCCAUCACUCAUUCCAAAUGGGGCAGGCAUCCACAGCAAUGGCCACAUCAACGGCGCUGUGGGCCCCUGGUUUAAGCACACUUAAUUAUUGCUUAGGGUUAUGUAGUGCAGAAAAUUGGAUCCCUUUAGCUGGUUGAAAAGUUAGAGCAGAGUGUGGUGAAAUAGAGGAGAUGAAGUGGUUCGGUGAAAUUUUGCCUAUAAAGAAGUUCAGUGGCAUCGUAGUGGCAUUACUCAAUACCGAGAAUUGACUGGGCCGUUUGUGCUGCUCUAGACUUCUAGUCAUCAGGAAUUCGCGUCAAAUCGAUCCUCGGCUCUGAUGGCUUAUGAUGUGAUGGGCCGAAGUUGAUCGAUCCUUAACACUAGAGUCACCAUUUAUAAUUUAUAAUAAUAUUGUUAUAUAUAGAUAUAAAAUUUUAUUCCGACCAAC
This is an RNA transcript of Neltuma alba, 5998 nucleotides long. RefSeq lists it as uncharacterized. The transcript has 10 exons. Lineage: Eukaryota; Viridiplantae; Streptophyta; Magnoliopsida; Fabales; Fabaceae. The record is from RefSeq and is a predicted model, not a curated record.